UAACCAUGCAUGCCUGGCCCAAAAGUCAGAGGAGCUGAAGGAGGAUCCAGGGGGAGGUAGAGCAACUGCAUGUCCAGUCACUGCUUCACACCAAUGAGGGAGAGUGGUAACGCCUGAGCAAGGCGAGGAGCAGAGGCAGAGAACAGCAGGCAGCCACCCUGCUGAGCGCAGAGCCCUCCACCAGGCCCAAUCCCAUCACCCCGAGACCAGGACUUGAAAUGAAAUCAAGAGCCGAUGCUCAACCAACUGAGCCACCCAGGAAAGGCUGGAAGAAUAUAUACCUAAGUAUUACCAACACUGGUUAUUUCUGUGGAAUAGAAAUGUCUUGGAAAUUGGGGCGAAGGGACUAAAAAUUUCAUAAAUUUCUGUUUUGCUUGAUUUUCUACAUGAGGCAUGUACAAUUUUGUAAUUUAAAAACC
Long non-coding RNA from Lutra lutra (Eurasian river otter), 419 nucleotides. RefSeq lists it as uncharacterized. The record is from RefSeq and is a predicted model, not a curated record. The transcript has 3 exons. Lineage: Eukaryota; Metazoa; Chordata; Mammalia; Carnivora; Mustelidae.